RNAcentral lists this long non-coding RNA (1075 nucleotides) under Pan troglodytes (chimpanzee). RNAcentral describes it as "long non-coding RNA NONPTRT004995". The record is from RNAcentral. Lineage: Eukaryota; Metazoa; Chordata; Mammalia; Primates; Hominidae.
GCCUAAUAGUUAAAAUUCUGCACUUUCACAUCCACAGGGUGAGUCUGAUUACUGGUCAGGGAUCCAGCCCCUCUCGAUUUAAUAUUUGUGUGACUUUUUUGUUGGGUAUCAAUUUAUUAUUGAUCUUUAUUAUUGACCUUUCCCAUUUCCAUAGCUUUUUGUUUCCUGUCUUUUUUCAUCUGUUGGGGGCACAUGAGGCUUUGGGGCCUUUGUGUGCGUAUGGUCAGCUGAGAAGUAACAUCAUCAGGAAGACGGGUGCUUCACCAUGCUUCUGCCUGUACCAGUGUACAGAAUAUAAAGCCUUGGAGGAACUGCAGUUGAUGACAGCAUCUUCCCCUUCUCGGAGGAUCACGGCUUGAGGACUCUGCACUGGUUGUUGGCUUCUCACCCCUGAUCAGAAAGACAAUCGAAUGAGAUGCUCAAUCUCGUGAAGGGAAGGGUGAUUUUCUCCCUUCCUUCCUUAUUUAAAACAUUAAGCAUCACCACAUAAUUACGGUACAUUUUCCUCACUUCUUAGGUCUGGUUCUUAAAAGGGCCCUUCCCAAGACAGAAAGCUAUUGUCAUUAAGAUGCUGUCAUAUCACAACCUCUCCCAGACUGAAUCGUGUACUCACAGGCCAACUGCCACAACAAGGUGCCUGAAAGCACUUUCAGGAGAGUCUCCAUCCUUGGCCUGCCAGAAUAUCCAGUCAGCUUCUGAAUAGGCUUCCUUAACAGGAGUUGCUUUGAACUCAGAAUGAGGCCUGUUGCAAUUGCUUCCAGGAUAUUGCAACUUUGGGGGCAACCAAUCAGAGACACAUCACAACAGUUUAACUGCAGAGAACUAAAUGCAUCUACCUAGAAUACUUUUUAAACAGCUCUCCCCUGUGGCCAGACUGAGGAAUGUUGAUUAAACUGUGGAUUUUGGCUUUUCUUGAGUAAGUUUUCAUCCAGGAUAGGUUUUUUUCUUGCUAUAAGAAGGGCCUAUCAAUAUACUGUGUUACAGAAAGAAUUACUCCAGAAUUAAGAGAAAAAAGAAGCAUCAAGGGAAAAUGUAUUAUAUGUGUUUUACUACAUAUAUGUAUUUUAUAUACAUG